UAAAUAAGUAUGGGAAUAGACUGCUCACUGAAAUGAGCUGUGCUUGCACACACCACUACUGGUUUUUAAGAACAGCCAAAAUGAGUUGAGAAAUGAGAUUUCUGAGCUGCAUUAUGCAUGCAGCUGUUCUGCUGGCUGAUUUGAUUUGCCUCGAGCCUCUACGUUAAUUAUAACGAUAAAGAUAAAACUUGCCAGCAAUCUUAAAAAUAGAUGCUACUACCCUACCUUUAAUCAAACACAGCAUCCACAGCCAAAUGCCAUUUAACAACACCAACCGUGGCCACGGCUUUGAUUCUUAGAGCAGCCAUUUAUCCUUUGGUUUUGUUCUGUUUGGAUUCAGCUUAGUAAAGACAGAAUAGAAAGCACUCAUUCCUGUUGCAAAAGGCUUCCGAAAGGACUGGGCUGAAAAUGUUUGCAUGCCGUAAGAAGGCACGCAAGGCUUUCAAGCAAACCGGAUUUCGUUCCGCUCCGUUCCGUUCCGCGCUCUCCCGCGGCUCUCAGUCGCCCCCUGCCGGCCGCUGGCGGCCGCUCGCUUCCCGGAGCGGCGUCACGCUGCUGGUGGCGUCAUGCAUAGCAUAGAGCUGCGGCGGCAGCCGGAUGGAACGAGCGGAGUCCGUGUUUUCCAAGUGCAGUAAUGCAGCUGGUUCAGCUGGUCGUAAGGAAGAUAAUUCUGCGUUUAGUAAUAGUGCCGCAAUAGCGCAUUUUCUUGACGUAACUCUUGGCUGUACGUUUCUUAGAGCCUGGAUUUGCCAAGAGUGCCUGCUGCACAGAGCCCACUCCUAUCGCGUGCUGAAGUGACCAGAUGAGCUAACACAGAACUUGGGCCUUUCUUCCUCUAUCGUUUACACAAAUAUACUCACUUCUGUUCCAACUCCUCACAACUUCGGCUAUGCAAUCCUUGAGACAGAAAGUACAACAAGGAAGAUCCUAAGCACAAAAAAAUCCUUGGCUUUCCUGCCCCCGAGGGAGAGGAACAUUACAGGAAAGAAUGCAUCAGGAGUGGACGACUAGUGAAUGAGGCUCUGCUUGGAUCCCAUCUGGAAAUGGCUAUCUGUAUUAUAUGGAGCUUGAAAUGUAUCGUGUGCAAGUAGGGUUCUAAAAGCUUCAUUUGGAACCCAAAUCUGAAAGCAUCCUGGUGGGUUUUUUUGGGUUUUUUGGGUUUUUUUUUGUUUUUUGUUUUUAAUGCUGAAUGUUUCUAAUUUGUUUGUUUUAAUUGGAACUGCAAAAACCCGAGACUUCCAAUUGUAUGCAAACCUGCCCUAACCUGACACCUUUUAUGAGCUUAAAAAAAAAUAUCAGAGGAAUGUAUGCUUCUACCAGAGCCUGCCACCAAAGCGUGGAAACAUCCUGCCAACAUGUUUACUCACUGCUGUAAUGAACACAUGCAAGAUUAGAAAGUUUGUUUAGGUAUUACUGGAAACCUUUUUCCAUCACAAUCCUUUCAGCUGUUUCACAAGGACUGAGCAGGAAAUUCGGCCUUUAGGCUCAUGCAUAAGGUACGUGUAGUGGUGAGAGAAGACUUAACAGUGCCAAGCUGUAACCCAGGGAGCUGCCUAGUGAGUGCACUGUGGGUCACUAGCAGACUAAGGUACAGGAACUUGCAAUGACAUGAACAACAGAGGGAAUUAAGAGUCACAGCCUAAAUUGGCUCUUUUGUCAGUGUCAUGUAAUGUGCUUGGGAUAGUUUGCCUGCGUAUGGCACAACUGCUAUAUAAUUGCAAACAUCAAGAAAUGAGUAUGUAGACUUAGGUGGGUUGGGAUGGCUGUAACAUAAAUCUGAGGCAGGGAAGGAGCUGCAGCCCAGCGAUGCAGAGAGUGAAUUUCUCUGCUCUAUAAAACACAUCCUGUGAUUUCCUAUUCGUGUAUUGCUUCUUAGUGUAGUCAAGCACAAACUAUUUAAGGCAGGGAUUCACUGUGCGUGCAAUUGUAUGUUAUGUAAUAAUGAUGAUGUGUCUAAUUGCUAUUGUAAAAAAAAAGUAUAAUAAUAAUAAUGGCUAUGAUUUCUGCCUUCCAAAGUAGUGCGUAUUUUCUUUGUAGUAAUCAGGGACUUGUUGCUAGGCAGUUAAUAUUUAAGGUACCUUAAAUAUUUUAAUGCGUCUAUGCCUGCUGUUUCUAGGCACCAAUAUUUGUUUAUGUUAUCAUUAUACAACCCUUUCUACCUUAUAUCCUUUGUUCAGUCUAAUCUAAUGGAUCCACACAAUGAAAUUUCAAUCACACUUUUUUUUUUCACAGAUAGCAGAUUUACUUUACUGUUGAGAAUGAUAAAAUUCCUCUGACGCAGAUUUGUUCUUUGUCAGGAUGUUUUGCACUAAUACCAUUUACUCUUUCUUUGCACAGUCCUCCUCCCAGGUGAGUUCUGUCUUUGUGAUGGCUUGGUGUGCAGGCAUGUAGUAAUUUUAAAGGUUUGAAUUUAAUGGUUGAGAAUCAAGAUUCAAGAUCAGCUUUAAUUGUAGUAAACUAGGAGUUGAAAUACAGACUUUUUUUGACCAAGCUCUAAAUUUUUAAGAAAAGUCUUCACAUGUAAUCUCUGAUAAGACAAUGGGCUUACAGAAAGAUUUUAUGGUAGCUGGAAGGCAAUCAAAGAGAGCGGUGGUGAGGUAUAAGAUCUCAUCAGAAAUUACAACUUUGAGGGAAGAUUCUGGGGAAACAAGUAAGCACUAACAACGACUGAAAUACAUAACUAGGGGAAUGUGCUGCCACUACCUCAAUCCUUCGGAAGAAUCAUAGAAUCACAAGGUUGGAAAGGACCUACAAGAUCAUCUAGUCCAACCAUCCUCCCAUUACCAUUGCUACCACGAGCUACUAAACCAUAUCUCGUAGCUUCUCAUCCAGACAGAAGUAAGAAUAUCAAAUCUUUUUGGCAGCUCUGCAUCACUGCUUUAGAUUUUCCUUGGUUUCAUCUCAAUUUUAUUCAAAUAAAAUAGAAAAAUUCCUGCNNNNNNNNNNNNNN
Long non-coding RNA from Chrysolophus pictus (golden pheasant), 2950 nucleotides. The record is from Ensembl. NCBI's taxonomy places the organism in Eukaryota, Metazoa, Chordata, Aves, Galliformes, Phasianidae.